GCACCUCAAAUGGAAACGCUAAUAAACUAUUAUCAAGAACAAAAAAAAUUCUCGAAAUCAUAGGACAGCAAAGGCUGCAGAGAAACUUCAUAUAUAUGUACUUUAUUUUUACAAAUGAUUUCAACUCUACUCAAAGAAAUUGUUCUCUAAAUAGUGUUUCAUGCAAUCCCCUCCCCUCACUAUUUUUCCCCUAUUAACAGUUGAAAAGGACUUCAGACUCGCUUACAAUUAAACAGAUAAUCAUCAUUCUUAGGUGUAACCUCAUAUAAACAUGAAACAGGAACAUGCACAAUUCACCUUGUUACUUGCCGUAUCUUCAGCCUGUUGCACCAAGACCAUGCCUUCAGAAGUGACAUGCAGUAAAAUAUGUACUGUUAGCAAAUGCUUAGGUAAAAUUACAAAACUAAAUAAAUACCUCCUUUUGUCAGUUGUUAAUUGGCAUACGAAACUAAAUAAAUACCUCCUUUUGUCAGUUGUUAAUUGGCAUAGAAAAAUACCUGUUUAAACAUAUUUGCAACAGGUUCCAAUCCCUUAGGAAUUCUGUGGAAUAGCCUAUACAUUCGAGAUAAAUCCUCUACCU
This 580-nucleotide long non-coding RNA is filed under the name Nicotiana benthamiana. Its description in RNAcentral is "long non-coding RNA (NBEN_LNC006733)". Lineage: Eukaryota; Viridiplantae; Streptophyta; Magnoliopsida; Solanales; Solanaceae. The record is from RNAcentral.